This is a long non-coding RNA of Zerene cesonia (dogface butterfly), 265 nucleotides long. RefSeq lists it as uncharacterized. NCBI's taxonomy places the organism in Eukaryota, Metazoa, Arthropoda, Insecta, Lepidoptera, Pieridae. The record is from RefSeq and is a predicted model, not a curated record. The transcript is spliced from 3 exons.
CGGUGGAAAGCUUUUGGACAUCUCUCGUGUUUGAAAGAAUUGCUCCCAGGGACUGCCUAUAAUUUAUGAUCAAAUAAUCGAUCCACCUCUCGUGUAUGGCAACCAGCGGCUUCACGUUCACGCUCGCGAGCACCUCCUGUUCCACCGCGUAGGGCCCGCGGGAUCCGGCCGGGCCACGUGGAUCCGGAAAGUCCGAUGGCGGAUCCGGGAUCCUGACAAUAGGAGUAAAAAAAAAAAAACAAAAAAUUAUUGCAGACAAUUAAAA